UACGUAGGUGGCAAGCGUUGUCCGGAUUUACUGGGUGUAAAGGGCGUGUAGGCGGGUUAUUAAGUCAGAUGUGAAAUUCUUGGGCUCAACCCAAGCGCUGCAUCUGAAACUGAUGAUCUUGAGUACUGGAGAGGGAAGCGGAAUUCCUAGUGUAGCGGUGAAAUGCGUAGAUAUUAGGAGGAACACCAGUGGCGAAGGCGGCUUUCUGGACAGUAACUGACGCUGAGGCGCGAAAGCGUGGGGAGCAAACAGG
RNAcentral lists this ribosomal RNA (253 nucleotides) under uncultured Acetivibrio sp. RNAcentral describes it as "partial 16S ribosomal RNA". It matches the Rfam family "Bacterial small subunit ribosomal RNA", at positions 524 to 776 of the family's 1533-position model. The record is from RNAcentral. Lineage: Bacteria; Bacillati; Bacillota; Clostridia; Acetivibrionales; Acetivibrionaceae.